Molecule: microRNA precursor, 154 nt
Filed under: Populus trichocarpa (black cottonwood)
Lineage: Eukaryota; Viridiplantae; Streptophyta; Magnoliopsida; Malpighiales; Salicaceae
Description: MIR2912 microRNA precursor family
Rfam family: MIR2912 microRNA precursor family
Source: Rfam by way of RNAcentral
UCUAGAACUCGAGAUAUGGGCAGAACAUUGAACAGUGUCUGAGCUGCAGGACAGAUUCUGACUUCUUCGUUGUUGCUAAGAUUUGGACUUUUAAAUAGCAGAAUUGAGUCUUGGACUCCUCAUGAAUGUUUUAGGCCUAUGUUUUAGCUUUAGC